Molecule: long non-coding RNA, 1710 nt
Organism: Oreochromis aureus
Lineage: Eukaryota; Metazoa; Chordata; Actinopteri; Cichliformes; Cichlidae
Source: Ensembl
CAGCAAAUACCGGAAAUCAGUUUUUGGCACAACACCGAGCGCUCACCGCCGCAUCAGUCGCUUAGUAGUUAUGUGACUUAUGCAAGCCAGAUCCUUUUAUCUAGCAAAAUUGUGAUUAAUAGCUACUGAAAUGUUAUUGUUGGCAUUUCAGUAACUAUUGAAACACGCACACACAUAAAAAAGAGGGAAAAAAACUUCAAUAAACGGCACUUGCCUGCUACACCGCCCUCUCCUCUCCACGCCUGCCCUUUGUGGGGCAAACGUCCUCAGCUCUCAUUUGAGGGGUGGUGCCGGUGGGGGACUCUUGAAGCACUUGACUUUCUGACCGGUGUUCAGAUAUGUUAGGCUCGCUGCUCGUCGUCGCUGUUUUUACCCGUUUGUCUGCAGAUGUCCAGCCUGUUUUAGGAAACUCCUUCACGUUUCCACAAAACUGCAAGAACGAUGAAGAAGGAAAAUUGCUCCGGGCUGAGCCCCAGGGGGAGGUGGAGGUGGCUGUUCACCAGCGCGGUGUGUGGGCACCCGCCCGGGGCUACCGACACCGGAUCCUUCAAAGCUCUUCCAUUUUGUUCAGGCGCAUAUUUUACAAUGACAGUGGAGUUUAUGUGCUAAGAUGCGGCAGCCGGGAGAUGCGCAUCCAGGUUAAAGUUCUAGUUCCUUUCAAUGUCACCGUGAAAGAGGGAGAAAAAGCGACACUGCCGUGUUACUUUCCAACUACCAGCAAGAAGACUGUCUCUGCACGAUGGGAGAUGAAUCAGCAAGUUGUGUUUGAGUGGAAUUCCUGCACAGAUAAAAGUAACGGCACUGCUGAUGGAAGACUCUCUGGAGACUUUUCCUUAAAACUGCGACAGGCGAGGAAGGAAGAUCAUGGAGAUUAUUUCUGCUAUAAACAAAAUGAAGACGGAGAGAAAGAGGGGGAUCCAUCUGUCGUGAGGCUGAAAGUAAAGAAGAGAGGCCGCGACCAGCAGCGCCGACGAAGAAAACGGGACAAUCGACGAGGACCCCGAGUAGCUGUCAGCAGAGGAGGAACUUUGGUCUGCCAGCCUGGACAAGCUUACUUUCCAGUCAGUCCUGUGGAGGACAUUUGGAUUCUCGGCCUUGUGGGCUGGAUGCUGGUGGAAGCACCCACCGCAGAUGCGUGGACCUUCCUGCUCCUGCGCUCAUUAGUUAAAUAUAUUUCUGGUAGCUGCAUAUUUUCAGCGUCUUAAAAACAUAUCUCUGAAUGUGUUUGAGGAUGCAGGAAAGGGAAUUGAUAUUAAUAUGUAUUUUAUUCUGUUCAUUUAAUCUUCAAGUUUGCAGUCUAAGGAGCUUGGAAAGAAAAGCGUCUGGGGGGGAUACUCCCACUGGGUUUAAAUCUGGGACUCUCCACCAUUUGACCUUAGAACUGAAGAAGCUUCUCGGAUUAGAGGUGAAACGUCUUCAAGCAACUUAAAGAAGUCCAGACGCUUUUCUUUCCAAACUCCUUAGACUACGAUGACCUGGAUGACUCAGAACCUUCAGACUUCAAGUUUGCAUUUCUGAAACAUUCUGUUAAUAAUCCUUUUGUUUAUUUUACAUUUUAUUCAACUGCAUGCGUAUUUAUACAGACUAUACUACACUAAAUAAACUAUUCAAUGAAUGUCUGAGUAAUGAAUUAUUACUAUAAUCAUUCAUAAUAAGUAUUCUUCAGUGUACAUGCAGUCCUUCUGUUAACACCAAUAUUUAGUCCCGCAG